AAAGUGUUGAAGCUACAUGAAUUGAUAAACUAUUAAAAAAAAACUAAACUGUUUAAUAAUUAUAGUAGUAUGGUUUUUUAAUUUUCUGCAAUUUUAAUUUUUCAUAGGGAAAAGGUACAAAAAUUGUUGGAAAUAAGAUGAUGUAAAUACAGGUAAUCCUCAUAUAAUAUGGUUUUCUACAACACAGUUUCGUUCUAACACUAUUAGAAAAUUGCAGAAACCCUCAUAUAGUUAUUCAUGUGAAAUGAACAUAAAACUGCUUUCUGUCUUUCGUAAUAUGUCUUCUUAGAAAUAAGCACUCCUCAGCAGUAGGAACAAUAAUAGCAAACUUUAUAGAAGCAGGGAGGAUAUCGAUUGCCCUCGCAGAAGAGGCAUACAUGAACAACAUCCAGGUAGAAUGGGACAAAGCUAAGAUUGUACGAAGAGUAGCCAUGAUGUCACAAGCCCUUCUGCAAGAAAGCAUAGAGAUAACAGCUAGAAAGCACAGUCAAACUCUGAUAAAUGAAGGACCAAUCAAAGAACUACCGGAUGCAUGGAAGUAUCUAAUAGAAAAACGAAGACAAGAUAAUAAGAAAUCAGUAAUACAGAGAAGCGCAGAAAUAAA
This 604-nucleotide long non-coding RNA is filed under the name Androctonus crassicauda. The record is from RNAcentral. Lineage: Eukaryota; Metazoa; Arthropoda; Arachnida; Scorpiones; Buthidae.